RNAcentral lists this ribosomal RNA (329 nucleotides) under uncultured eukaryote. RNAcentral describes it as "partial 18S ribosomal RNA". It matches the Rfam family "Eukaryotic small subunit ribosomal RNA", at positions 1470 to 1796 of the family's 1831-position model. The record is from RNAcentral.
CCCUUAGAUGUUCUGGGCCGCACGCGCGCUACACUGACGGAGGCAGCGAGCGUGUCCUUCGCCGGCAGGUGCGGGCAAUCUUGCGAGUCUCCGUCGUGCUGGGGGUAGAUGGUUGCAAUUGUCGAUCUUGAACGAGGAAUUCCUAGUAAGCGCGAGUCAUCAGCUCGCGCUGAUUACGUCCCUGCCCUUUGUACACACCGCCCGUCGCUACUACAGAGUGCCCGUGUCCAAGAAACGGUCGGACCUGUGCGGCCUCUCCGGGCGACCGGAGGGCCGUUACGGGGAAGACCCUUUAUUUGACGCGGGUCGAUGAAGUAAAAGUCGUAACA